Molecule: ribosomal RNA, 415 nt
Filed under: uncultured bacterium
Lineage: Bacteria
Description: bacterial SSU rRNA
Rfam family: Bacterial small subunit ribosomal RNA
Source: RNAcentral
GGACCCGCACAAGCGGUGGAGCAUGUGGUUUAAUUCGAUGCAACGCGAAAAACCUUACCUACUCUUGACAUACUUGGAAGCUCUUGUAAUGAGAGUGUGCCUUUUGGAACCAAGAUACAGGUGCUGCAUGGCUGUCGUCAGCUCGUGUCGUGAGAUGUUCCGUUAAGUCGGAUAACGAGCGCAACCCUUACCCUUAUUUGCCAGCGAUUCGGUCGGGAACUAUAAGGGGACUGCCGGUGAUAAACCGGAGGAAGGUGAGGACGACGUCAAGUCAUCAUGGCCCUUACGAGUAGGGCUACACACGUGCUACAAUGGGGAAUACAGACGGCUGCUAACCCGCGAGGGGGAGCUAAUCCGACAAAACUUGUCGUAGUCCGGAUCGAAGUCUGCAACUCGACUUCGUGAAGUCGGAAUC